Dipodomys ordii (Ord's kangaroo rat) is the source of this 73-nucleotide non-coding RNA. The record is from Rfam. Lineage: Eukaryota; Metazoa; Chordata; Mammalia; Rodentia; Heteromyidae.
GGAGGUAUGGCUUAAGUGGCAGAGUACCUGCCUAACAAGCAUGAGGCUCUGAGUUCAAUCCCUAGUACCACUA